Non-coding RNA from Manis javanica (Malayan pangolin), 426 nucleotides. The record is from RefSeq and is a predicted model, not a curated record. NCBI's taxonomy places the organism in Eukaryota, Metazoa, Chordata, Mammalia, Pholidota, Manidae.
CUGGACCAAGAUUGCCCUCAUGGAUUCUCUAGCAGUCUAACCCUCUUGACAGCUUGCCUAAACAGGGAGCAGUGCAGAAUACUAACAGAUGGCAGUAGCUGUAGCGUGGGACCUUAACAGUCACUGUGUGCUUUGUCCAGCAAUGUCCUUGUGUCCUGGAUGCGUCCCCUGGCUGCAGCUGCCACAUGAUGAUUGCUCUAAACUCUCUACCUGUUCAACUACUGACUGCCUGUGGAAUUGGGGAGCUAUUGUCUUAAUCUGCAUAGGACUUUGAACCUAACUGAAUCCUCCGACUUGAUUAUUAUCAUGAUUUUAUUGCUGUUGCUAUACUAUGUUAUUAGUCUGGUUAUAGUGCUCCGGUUUUCUUGCCAGGGCCAUUGCAGAAGCUGUGCAAUGAGUAGAUUGUAAGGCAAGAUUUCUGGAGGG